GGUCCAUAGCUCAGUGGUACAACUUCUGCUUUAUAUGCAGAAGGUCCCAGGUUCAAUCUCCAUCAUUUCCAGGUAAGACCA
RNAcentral lists this transfer RNA (81 nucleotides) under Podarcis lilfordi (Lilford's wall lizard). RNAcentral's name for it is "tRNA.Ile". Lineage: Eukaryota; Metazoa; Chordata; Lepidosauria; Squamata; Lacertidae. The record is from RNAcentral.